RNAcentral lists this ribosomal RNA (292 nucleotides) under uncultured bacterium. RNAcentral's name for it is "partial 16S ribosomal RNA". It matches the Rfam family "Bacterial small subunit ribosomal RNA", at positions 505 to 796 of the family's 1533-position model. The record is from RNAcentral.
GUGUCAGCCGCCGCGGUAAGACGUAGGGCGCGAGCGUUGUCCGGAUUUAUUGGGCGUAAAGAGCUCGUAGGCGGCUCGUUGCGUCAAUCGUGAAAACUCAGGGCUUAACUCUGAGCUUGCGGUUGAUACGGGCGGGCUAGAGUUCGGUAGGGGAGACUGGAAUUCCUGGUGUAGCGGUGAAAUGCGCAGAUAUCAGGAGGAACACCGGUGGCGAAGGCGGGUCUCUGGGCCGAUACUGACGCUGAGGAGCGAAAGCGUGGGGAGCGAACAGGAUUAGAAACCCGCGUAGUCC